CGGCACGGGUGAGUAACACGUAUCCAACCUGCCGUCUACUCUUGGACAGCCUUCUGAAAGGAAGAUUAAUACAAGAUGGCAUCAUGAGUUCACAUGUUCACAUGAUUAAAGGUAUUCCGGUAGACGAUGGGGAUGCGUUCCAUUAGAUAGUAGGCGGGGUAACGGCCCACCUAGUCUUCGAUGGAUAGGGGUUCUGAGAGGAAGGUCCCCACAUUGGAACUGAGACACGGUCCAA
This 235-nucleotide ribosomal RNA is filed under the name uncultured bacterium. Its description in RNAcentral is "partial 16S ribosomal RNA". It matches the Rfam family "Bacterial small subunit ribosomal RNA", at positions 100 to 334 of the family's 1533-position model. The record is from RNAcentral.